UACGGAGGGUGCAAGCGUUAUCCGGAUUCACUGGGUUUAAAGGGUGCGUAGGCGGCUUUAUAAGUCAUUGGUGAAAGCUCGCAGCUUAACUGCGAAACUGCCAUUGAAACUGUUUAGCUUGAAUGUGGUUGAAGUGGGCGGAAUACAACAUGUAGCGGUGAAAUGCUUAGAUAUGUUUUAGAACACCGAUUGCGAAGGCAGCUCACUAAGCCAAUAUUGACGCUGAGGCACGAAAGCGUGGGUAGCAAACAGG
This 253-nucleotide ribosomal RNA is filed under the name uncultured bacterium. RNAcentral describes it as "partial 16S ribosomal RNA". It matches the Rfam family "Bacterial small subunit ribosomal RNA", at positions 524 to 776 of the family's 1533-position model. The record is from RNAcentral.